UACGUAGGGGGCAAGCGUUGUCCGGAUUUAUUGGGCGUAAAGAGCUCGUAGGCGGUUUGUCGCGUCUGCUGUGAAAACCUAAGGCUCAACCUUGGGCUUGCAGUGGGUACGGGCAGACUAGAGUGCGGUAGGGGUGACUGGAAUUCCUGGUGUAGCGGUGGAAUGCGCAGAUAUCAGGAGGAACACCUAUAGCGAAGGCAGCUUGCUGGGACGUUACUGACGCUAAGGCGCGAAAGCGUGGGGAGCGAACAGG
This 253-nucleotide ribosomal RNA is filed under the name uncultured bacterium. RNAcentral's name for it is "partial 16S ribosomal RNA". It matches the Rfam family "Bacterial small subunit ribosomal RNA", at positions 524 to 776 of the family's 1533-position model. The record is from RNAcentral.